Molecule: long non-coding RNA, 2495 nt
Organism: Daucus carota subsp. sativus
Lineage: Eukaryota; Viridiplantae; Streptophyta; Magnoliopsida; Apiales; Apiaceae
Exons: 3
Source: RefSeq, a predicted model, not a curated record
UAUAUCUGUUAUAUCUGUUAUACGAGAACAAGUUAGUUUACUGAGCAAAUUAAUUCCCGCUUCGGUCAUUCCAACCCUACUUCCAAACCUGCUCAUUAAACCCCACACAUGUAUUCAUAUUAGCAUAUAAAAAUGAUUAUAGCGGAACGGAUACUCUCCGCCCUUUCUGGCCUCUUAGGAAAGUCGUGAUGUUCCUACAAUUUACGGAGUUUCUAAUUCUAAUUGUCUCAAUCUGCCAAAAACCUCCACUCCGACUACAAAGGUGCGUAUUAUUUUUUAUACAUGCAAUCAGAUUUUACUUCAAUUAUUUGUGGAUUUCGCUAUGUGUAUAUUGUUAGUCAGUGAGGAUAAAUUUUAGGCAUAUCAUUGGAAAUGUAUCCCCUUUUCGUUAGGAUUUUUACAGAUACAUUUUCUUCUCCUGUCCGACAAGUUAGCCACCAAUUUAGCUUUGAAGCUAUCUGCAUAUGACUCUAAAUUUUGGUCUUGUACAGUUUCGACGGUGAUCAUAUAACGUGUUAUUGAAUUUUAUAGCUAGAACUAGACUUGAUUGAAUUUGCUUGAAAAGUUGUUUCAUCCUUAUAUGAUUUUAGCGCUUAAAUUUGUUGUUUAAUCUACUAUAUUUGUUUUUUUAGUUAUUCUGUUGAUUUUGGUGGAAUAUGGGUUGUAAAUGGAUAUAUUAGAUACAUUGAAUCAUGUUCUGUCUCCCUUUUUCAGUUUCUGGAAAAUCAUCCAAUACAUUUCAAACUUUCAAAAUUAAUUGAAAUUGUGAAGAUAAAGCUUCUUCCCUGUUUAAUUCUUUGACGCUUUUUAGUCUAAUUUAUAUGACUCCAUUCAUUGUAUUAAUUCAUCAUUUUAAAAAUGCACUGCACUUCCUUUUGUAAUGUUUUGCAGUUCUGUUAGGAGCUGAACUAUAUUGUAUUAUAUGCUACACCGCUGAUGCUCUACAUGCCUAUUUAGUACCUAAUUUAUAAACAUAAUGCAAAUACGGAUUUUCAGAAGAAAUUAUUAGUUCUGAAUUAUUUUAAGACAAAGCUAUCGAUGCAUCUAUACACUGGUGUACAUCUCUGCCCAAUGGCCUGUUUUAGAUGUGUGUAUUUCAUUGGAAGAUAGAAAUGGUCCAGGUUUUUAAUCCACAUGUGCCUAUCGUAAUCUAAAAAACCUAUAGGAGUUGUAAGCACAAUCUGAAUCGGUCUAAUCAUUAUGAGUGAAGUCAUAUGCACAUCCGAAUGGAUGAAGUCAUUUAUUGUGAUUCCUAUAUGCAGGAGGAUAUCUUAGUGGAUCUGUUUUAAUUUUCCCAGAUUUGCCAUAUAUGACCAAUAUGACGUCCUUGUGAGUUGAUCAUGGGAAUUUAUUAUGUCCAAAUGCAUUAAGUUUUUAAUUGGUGCUUCUGCUCUGUCUGUUUACAAUUAUUCUUAUGCAGGAUACUCCGGAAAUGCCUAAUUAACGCUUCCAUUUCCAGCAUACAUUGUCGUCAUGAGAAGUUUAAAUACACUGUACAUUGAUCUAUAAAACUAUUCUUUUAUAUUAGUAUCAUUCACUAUUUUUACUCAUUUAUUAUGAUUGUCAAGGACAUCAUAAAUCUUCUAAUCUCUAGUAAUUUAGAAACUGGACAGAACUUUUGAAAGUGAUCCAUCAAUUUUAUAUAAGAGUUGGGUCUGCUCUCUGCAGCACUGUUUUGAUAACCACCCAAAUUUCUCUAUAUGAUUUUUAAAAUAGAUUUUGGGUUAUAUAUGUAUCAAACACAAAAUUUUCCUUUAAGGUCUUACUUGAUUCCAAGAAGGUCAAGAGCUGGUUGGAGGAGAAAGAGGCUGAAGAAGCUAGGUAAGUUCCACCAAUUUUGAAAUGACUGAUGCUUCUGCAGUUGAGAAGCAAUGGGGAAUCAAUUCAGUUUCUUACACGUCUUAGUUCCGGAAUUGAAUGGAAAACCAUGUUCUAACCCGACUCAGUUUGUCUUCAAGGCACAGAAAGUCAUCAAAAGAAAGAGAGAAUCUUCAGCUAUCUUUCUCACUGGCAGAUUAUUAGAAACAAUGAGGAGAUAUAGGUCCUGAGAUGGUUGUCAGGGGAACUCUGCCCACAUUCGGAAUCAAUGCUAUGCAAUUCCAGCCAGGUGGGUUUAUAUGCAUUGGUUGUGUAAUACAUAAUCAUUGGUCAGAUGCAAUACAAAUCAAAAAAACUUUCAUUCUUAUCCUCACCGGUAAUGAAGCUGAGAAGGAUAGUGUUAAGCAAGUUUCUCUAUGACCCGUGCAUAAGUAAUCUUAUAAAUUGACCAGACUCGAAGAAUCUCACCUAUGCAUAAAAUCGCCCUCCAAAAGCUGCUGGUUCAAUUCUCAAUUUUCCAUUUGAUGCAGCAAUGUACACACCAUAGAAAAGUUUCAUGUCAAAAUCAUACAAGAAAAGCCUCGUGUGGCUUUAUUUUUUUUAACAAUGUCCAUCUUUGCCGAGGGAAGAUCAAAAACUCUGUAUUUAUAGCAAUCUGUUUUAGUUUUCCCAUUACA